Long non-coding RNA from Thalassophryne amazonica, 597 nucleotides. RefSeq lists it as uncharacterized. Lineage: Eukaryota; Metazoa; Chordata; Actinopteri; Batrachoidiformes; Batrachoididae. The transcript has 3 exons. The record is from RefSeq and is a predicted model, not a curated record.
CUGACAUGUUAACACACUACACCAUUAUGCUAAAUAUGAAUGAAAUUGGUCAAGUGGUUCUUCAGCUAUCGCGCUAACAAGCAAAAACGGACAGAAGUAAUAAAUAAAUAAAUGCUAGGAAUGUUAAGGUAUAAAAGUGGGUUUUUAACAGACUUAAAUAUGUUGAUGGAGGUGGCAGACCUACUUGUCAGAGGGAGGGGUUCAAAGAAGACCAGAGUAUGUGCUAAGGAGAUGUCACGUACUGAGUUUACCCAUGUACCAGAACUGUAUAUUUUGCAUGGGUGAAAAAUUGGGAGUUUGUUCUGUACUGAGUUUACCCUUUCUGUGUGUGGACCAAAAUCAGGUUUACAGUCGGGUUAUUUUUCUCCAUAAAUUGAAACUAGCUCUCUUGUCCUUUCUGCACACAGAAAAGGUAAACUUGGUAGAGAACAAACUUCCUGUUUUUUGUGCAUGCGCAGAUAGCAAAUAUACCAAUCUGGCACAGGGGUCAUCUCAGUACAUGAAAGAGGUCCGAGAUACGGAGCUGUACAAUAACGGAAUUACAAUUUCAGCAAAAUUUGGCCAUAUUUUAUCUUACCAUUAAAAAUGUACUACAUA